GAAGCUUAAACAAUUAGUGAUGGCAAUUUUCUAGAAGCACUGAAAUUAAUGAACUUUACUCGAGAUGGGUUCAAAGUGAACUACAUGAGCACUAUUGCAUAGUUCCAACAGAAUUGGCUGACUGCUCGAGACGCUGAUCAAGUAAAGACUAGAGGCAUUUCUCUAGAUAUAGCUGCAAGAGAGCACUUUUCGAUGAAUGUAUCUUAAAUUGUGACUUAUUUCUUUUUCACAAUUAAUGACAUGCAUAGUGCAUUGGGAGAGCCUA
Long non-coding RNA from Coffea eugenioides, 265 nucleotides. RefSeq lists it as uncharacterized. The record is from RefSeq and is a predicted model, not a curated record. Lineage: Eukaryota; Viridiplantae; Streptophyta; Magnoliopsida; Gentianales; Rubiaceae. The transcript is spliced from 2 exons.